UACAGAUAUGGAUCCACUUGUAUUUCAGUCACACUUUUAAAUGGAAAAAGUUGAACACAUAGAAACAUAGACUGACAGCUGCUUAAGCCCAAGGGGCAGAGGGUGGUAGAUGAGAGAAGAGGUCACAGUUCUAGUCAGGGGGAAUAAGUUCUGGUUAUCUAUUAUUAACACUAGUCACUGGGCUGUGCAAUAAGGUACUGCAGAUUUCAAAAAUGUGCUACCAGAGUGCAUUUUAGAUUGUUACUACAAAGAUAAGUAUAUGAGGUGAUAUGUUAAGUGGCCUACUUUUAUCAUUCCAUAAUAUAUACAGGGAUCAACAUGAAGUAGGCAAGCAUAUAAGUUAAAAUUGAUUAGGUCUGUGAGCUGGAAGACCAUGUCUUCGCCUCACCCCUGUGUGACCUCAUGCCCCUGAUACCUUCACCACACCCCCUCUGUGACCUCAUCCCCCGUCCUGGCCACACCUGGGUGACAACCAGCCAAUCAAGUUAAUUAACCACUCCCCCUUUAGAAGUGGGUUAAAAGCCUAGGACAUGAUGUGUCCGGCUCUUCUCUUUUGCCUGGGCUCUUCCCAGGAGGCGGGCUUGCCAUAGCCUGAAGGCCACGUGCCCUAGGCUUUCUGGCCUAGAUACUCCUCCAUGCGGCUGGUUCCUGGUGCUCGAAUGAUGACAUUGGAGGGCUUGUAGCAGCAAAAUGGAACUGAAUUCUCAAAUUCUACUUUGGAAGGAUCAUUCUAGUUGCAUUGCUGAAAAUAAAGUACAUGAAGUUUCCAGGUCAUGCUGAUGCUGCUGGUCUGAGAGUACUCUUGGAGAACUACAACCCUAGCAAACAAAUGUAAAUACAGAAGAGAAGACUUUCAAGGACUGACCUCUGGGGAACUUGUGUUAAGAGAUCAGAGAAAAGACGAGGGCCCGGCUAAGAAGACAGAGCAGGAUCAUCCUGUGAGCUUUUUGGUGGAGUGCUUAGGUUUUUCAAUGUACAACAUCAUGUCAUCUGCAACCAUGGAUGCUUUGACUUCCUCUCAUUUCAAUUUUGAUGCCUUUUAUACCAGCACUCCUGAAGAAAAUCGGACAUAAAUGUGGAACAGCUUGGAUGGAAUGGGGUAAGGGUUACCUCCUAUACCAAAAGGGGUUCAAUGAGAAGUGUUUAGCAUUUGAAUUGGAUUUUACUCUGCAGUAUUUGAGACAGAUUAAAAAGUCCUCAUUUAAUAUCAUGCAGAUAAAAUCCUGUGUUUGGGUGAAUAGAAGCAAAAACAGCUUUCAGAAAACUAUGCAAUAAGAGACUAGAAUUCAGGCUUGAAACUGUUUCUAGAUAUCAGAAAUGUGAGACAGGAAAUAUCUGCUCUUCUAAGGCACCUCUGCAGGCUCUGUCAUUGGGUUUCAUAGCAACCUCUGUAGAUGCCUAUAUUCUCUUAAACCUUUUGUCUAAUGCGCCAACUCACUUUACCACAUAAAACAUCUGACAGGACUCUAAGAGACAUUGACUGAAUCUUGUUUGUU
Non-coding RNA from Oryctolagus cuniculus (rabbit), 1496 nucleotides. NCBI's taxonomy places the organism in Eukaryota, Metazoa, Chordata, Mammalia, Lagomorpha, Leporidae. The record is from RefSeq and is a predicted model, not a curated record.